This 398-nucleotide ribosomal RNA is filed under the name uncultured bacterium. RNAcentral's name for it is "partial 16S ribosomal RNA". It matches the Rfam family "Bacterial small subunit ribosomal RNA", at positions 523 to 918 of the family's 1533-position model. The record is from RNAcentral.
AUACGUAGGGUGCGAGCGUUGUCCGGAAUUACUGGGCGUAAAGAGCUCGUAGGUGGUUUGUCGCGUCGUCUGUGAAAUUCCGGGGCUUAACUCCGGGCGUGCAGGCGAUACGGGCUUAACUUGAGUACUGUAGGGGAGACUGGAAUUCCUGGUGUAGCGGUGAAAUGCGCAGAUAUCAGGAGGAACACCGGUGGCGAAGGCGGGUCUCUGGGCAGUAACUGACGCUGAGGAGCGAAAGCAUGGGUAGCGAACAGGAUUAGAUACCCUGGUAGUCCAUGCUGUAAACGGUGGGCGCUAGGUGUAGGGGUCUUCCACGACUUCUGUGCCGUAGCUAACGCAUUAAACGCCCCGCCUGGGGAGUACGGCCGCAAGGCUAAAACUCAAAGGAAUUGACGGGG